This 326-nucleotide long non-coding RNA is filed under the name Panax ginseng (ginseng). Its description in RNAcentral is "long non-coding RNA (PGIN_LNC011934)". Lineage: Eukaryota; Viridiplantae; Streptophyta; Magnoliopsida; Apiales; Araliaceae. The record is from RNAcentral.
UUUCAUUUAUUAAUUAUUUGGGGUCUUACAACCAAACUCUUAUAUUCAUAUUUUGGCCUUCGUGGCCUUCUGCUAUGAAUUGGGCGUUGAGCCUUCCUUGGACUUCUUCUUCACCGUAUACAAGAUAGUCCAAUCUAGAGAGAAGGGGUUCAAGGCCCUUAGUAAACACUCCCCGAAGUCAGGAGAAAAGUUCGAGAGGCGUUCGCUGGUGAACACUCCUUCGAGCAAUAGGGGAUGGCACGAGAAGUGGUUCUACGUCAAAGGUCCCGAAAUUUCUUCUUUACCGAACUAGGCCACUGACGAGAAGAUCUCUGCUGACUUCGGAG